GACCAGAACACUGGGGUGCGAGAGCAAAAGCCGGAUUUUAAGAAGAAAACCCACAUAACACAGGGUUUCGUUCAGCUGGCCAUUAUAUUAUUAAUAUUAUUAUUAUUAUUUAUAAAAUCUGAGUGUUAUAGUAUUCCUCUGACUUAAUUCUACAGGGUCUGAGAUGUUGGUGGUCAGCCAGCAUGCAUGCAUCGGGCACCUGCUAUGUGCCCGGCGCUGUUCUAGGUGCAAGGAGAGCUGGGAGAGUACAAGGCUGUGAGUCAUUGUCUCUGGGGUCCUAUCCUACUGCGCGUGGGGCAGCUGGCAGGUGCAGAGCAAACACACGUGCUAAUCUUAGGUGCACACACAUGUGGGAGGUGAUAAAGUGAGGCCACGUGGCAGGGGCUGACCAGAAGGGCAGCUCAGGGCUGGCCUGGUUAGACAGAGAAGGCAUCUCCUGGAGGAGACGCCGGGCAGAGGCCUGCGGGCCAAGGAGGCAGCAGCAGUGUCCUGGGGAUCCAGGCUGGGUGGAAGGAGCAAAGGCCCUGGGAACAGGAUGUGUAUUUGGUCGUCUUGACUUCAUGGCGGCUGUCCUCCCUGGGGGUGUGGUCACUGUGGCCUGGGAACUCGGAAUCCACUGAGACAUCGGUUACUGCUCACAGAGAUGGGACUUGGACAGAGUCAAAGCCUGGGCCAGGACUUCAGGGAAGAGGAGGCCUGGGGCCCAGGGUGGGGAGCCAGGCUCUCAGAAUCCCUCCUGGGUGUCGGCUUCCUGCCUGGCACCUGCUCGGCACCUGUUCUGAUUGGGCUGGACCUCUAACCCCCCAGGGAAGAACAGUCUAGGGAGGGGCCCGUCCCUCAGGCCAGGGGGUGUCUGAAGUUGGCGGAUCUGUCCUCACUCAGCCCCCACCCCGGCAGGACUCACACUUUGCUCUGAUGUUGUGUUGGACCCUGGAGCAGUGGCUCUCCCAAAGGGCCGGGCAGCGACCACCCAGGCUUGUAGAAUGGCAAGCGGAGCAGAACUUAAAAAAACGCCUUCUCACGCACCCUCCGACGCCACCUCCUGCAGUCUCCCAGGCUGUAGCUCCCUCACCCUGACGUCAGCCCCACUGCACCGGGAAUACUGGACAGGCUGUCCCCACGUGGACUUGGGCACUGAGAGCUGAGACCACGAGGCCUGGUGCCAUGAGGCCCCGUCUCCAUUCCCUUGCCCUGAUUUUCCCGAGGUUCCCGCCUAGGCAAGUCCUUCCAGGAACUUCCAGAAAGACCCAUCAAGUCUCCAAUGGCAA
Molecule: long non-coding RNA, 1268 nt
Filed under: Oryctolagus cuniculus (rabbit)
Lineage: Eukaryota; Metazoa; Chordata; Mammalia; Lagomorpha; Leporidae
Description: lncRNA (ENSOCUG00000035830.1)
Source: RNAcentral